Molecule: ribosomal RNA, 482 nt
Filed under: uncultured bacterium
Lineage: Bacteria
Description: partial 16S ribosomal RNA
Rfam family: Bacterial small subunit ribosomal RNA
Source: RNAcentral
GACGAACGCUGGCGGCGUGCUUAACACAUGCAAGUCGAACGCUGAAGCUCAGCUUUUGUUGGGUGGAUGAGUGGCGAACGGGUGAGUAACACGUGAGUAACCUGCCCCCUUCUUUGGGAUAACGCCCGGAAACGGGUGCUAAUACUGGAUAUUCACUGGUCUUCGCAUGGGGGUUGGUGGAAAGGGUUUUUCUGGUGGGGGAUGGGCUCGCGGCCUAUCAGCUUGUUGGUGGGGUGAUGGCCUACCAAGGCUUUGACGGGUAGCCGGCCUGAGAGGGUGACCGGUAACAUUGGGACUGAGCUACGGCCCAGACUCCUACGGGAGGCAGCAGUGGGGAAUAUUGCACAAUGGGCGCAAGCCUGAUGCAGCGACGCCGCGUGAGGGAUGGAGGCCUUCGGGUUGUGAACCUCUUUCGCUCAUGGUCAAGCCGCAACAAUGGUUGUGGUGAGGGUAGUGGGUAAAGAAGCGCCGGCUAACUACGU